Molecule: ribosomal RNA, 62 nt
Filed under: Alternaria sp.
Lineage: Eukaryota; Fungi; Ascomycota; Dothideomycetes; Pleosporales; Pleosporaceae
Description: partial 28S ribosomal RNA
Source: RNAcentral
UUGACCUCGGAUCAGGUAGGGAUACCCGCUGAACUUAAGCAUAUCAAUAAGCGGGGAGGAAA